Molecule: long non-coding RNA, 4054 nt
Organism: Phyllostomus discolor (pale spear-nosed bat)
Lineage: Eukaryota; Metazoa; Chordata; Mammalia; Chiroptera; Phyllostomidae
Exons: 2
Source: RefSeq, a predicted model, not a curated record
ACGAGGGCUGAGCAGCGGAGAGAGGAGGGAGGGAGCCAUUUCUCUCCGCUGGCUGCAACCUCCGUGCUCACAGCUCGCAUUUCCCUGGAAUCCAGAGGCCUCCCGGCCAAAGGACUCCAUCAUGCUGGAUAUCUUCAUCCUGAUGUUCUUUGCCAUCAUCGGCCUGGUCAUCCUCUCCUACAUUAUCUAUCUGCUGUAGUGGCCUGCAGCUGCGGCGGAGCCCGCAGCACAGCUCAGCGGCGAAGGAUGAAGCUGACUAGUCGGCCGAGCCUCCUGCUUGCUGACUCACCGGUGGAUUUUUGCUUCUGGUCAUUAUUUCGGCUCCCGCUCGCCCGGCCGACAGGAUGCCUGUAUGAACAGCAGCAGACCCGCCGCCCAGCAGACCUCCUCCAGAGCCUCCCGGAUACGGUUAGCCCCUGUCAAGCAAGGGGCUAUUCCGGCUCAGAGGCUGAGGCACGAGGCUGGGACCUCAGGAACUCAUGGGCACGGCUGGCAGGUGCUGCGUCCGUUCGAGCUGUAAGUGGAGGGUGCGGAGAAAGAACACAGAGAACUGAAAUGUAGACUCGUUACAAUUAUCAUGAAGAACUUCUCAAAAUUCAUUUUGAUAGCCUUUCCUUAAGUCGUUCCUUUCCCUCGGAGGCGUUUUUUUUUUUUUAAGUCCAAGAGCACAUUGCCUCUCUCGCGGUGGCCACUUUAUCGCUCUGUCUUUAUGGCCUGCACGCGUACUACGGGGUUAUGUGUUUUCCUUGUCUUUGUCUCUAGCCCAAAGCAACUUGUCAUCUGAAUUUUUAAGAUUUAUUUUUCCUUCUCCCUGCCACUUGUGCUCCGGCUUCCCAUUUAAAGAGAGAAACAGUUAUAUAGUCCUCAUUCUCUGUGCCUGCUGAGUUAUAAAUUAUUGAAACAAGAUGGCUAUACCUAUCUUGUUAUUUGGGGAAAAAAUCUGUUACCCAAAAAAUAAAUGCUUUUCAAAUUGUUGAAUGUUCCUUUUAUGGAAAAAAAUAAUAAUUUCAACAUAUUUUCUGUCCAAUAAAGGUUGAAGAAACCUUAUAUACUAAGGUUGAAGAAACAUAUAUUUGGGAGUCCAGAGGAGACUUGGGCCCCAAACCUGUGGUAUCUCUCCCUUUGAAAAAUCCAUCAUAAUUGUUGUACAUUUGAUUUUCUAGCUUAAAAAUAAACAAGAAAGAUGAACUUAAUAGUUUUUAUUCAUAACAUGGUGUUCAAUUCCCAUGUUUAAAAAAGAAAUAAAAUUAAGACAGUGUAAUAUAAUGUCACAAAAUGAAAACCCUGCAUUUUAGAAUUCUGGCCAAUGAAAGACACUGUUCUAGAAGCUUUGUCUUGGCAACAAAUUGCAUGACCUUCAAUAAGUCAUUGACCCUUUCGGGGUUUCAUUUUAUUCUGACAAAUGAGAGGGACGGACUAGAAAAUUGUUAAUAUCUUUUUCCAUUUUAAAAUUCUACAAUUCUAAGAUGUGUUAUCUUUGGAAACAACAUCUUUGAGAAGAGAAAUCCCAUGGAGAAGCAACUCUUAAGAGUUACCUGUAGUCCACUUUUCUGCUCUCCCCAAAUGAUAUUUUAUGAUGAAAACUCAACUGCACAAUUCUUUUUUUUGGCACAUUGUGAGGAGAAAACGACUGUUUACCCCAAACAUGUAUCAGUGAUACUUUGUCUAAGCUGUUAAGGGAAUGUGAAUAAGUACAGUGCUACAUGGUGGUAUGCAAUAAAAAGAGGUAAUCUGACAGAUACACUAAUUCAAAAAGCAUGGCUGUAAGCAUCAAUACAGUCGGGGGUAUCUUCAGUUAUCUGUGAGGCCUUGACAGGACAUUUCCCAGUAAAACGUUCCUCUGACUCUUUGGCAUAGCUUUGUGUUUCAAACUAAAAUUUCCUUCUUCGAGUCAAGACAGCGGCUCUAGGUCCUUACCUAGGUAAUUAGGGCAAGUGGCAGUACUUUGAACGGGUCCAAGCAACAGAGUAAAUUAUUGUGGUUUAGGUCUUCAUGGUAUAGUUUCUAACUAAGCUUGCUCUGAAGUCUGUUAUGAGGUCAAAGCUCUUCGGUCUGUAUCCACACAAAGUUGAAACAGCUAAUCAAUUCAGCCGAUUUCAGUUAUACACCGGUGAUAUGUCCCACUGGCACUGGGCACAAUAUAAGAACAGAAAGGUUACCUAUAUUUUUAGUUACUUGUGAAAUAAUUAUAUUUUGGAAGAAAUUUUAUGACUUUGUGCCUAUGUCCAUGCUAUGAUAUGCCACUUUGUAACUGUUUUACAGUGUUCAUCAUUUUGGUAAUAGUUUUUAAAAUCUCACGUUUAAACUAUUGUUUUUUUUAAAGAUUUUAUUCAUUUAUCUUUAGAAAGAAGGGAAGGAAGGGAGAAAGAGAGGGAGAGAAACAUCAGUGUGUGGUUGCCUCUUGCGUGCCCCACACUGGGGACCUGGCCCUCAACCCUGGCAUGUGCCCUGACUGGGAAUCGAACCAGUGACCCUUUGGUUCACAGGCCGACAUUCAAUCCACUGGGCCACAUGCCCUAGUGGCAUCUUAAAACAUAGUAAAACACUGGGAAAAGUUACUUCUCUAAUAUGAGGUUUUGUAUACAGUUUUCAAGUCUGUGUUAUAGGGCAAUGGUGUCCUGUGAAAUGGGGAUUGUACUUGGCCUACAUCGAUGUAGUAAAAACAUCUCUAAAUAGUUGUAGAUUACUUACAAAAAGAUAAUGUGGCAUAAUACUAUGAAUCACUUCACUAAUACGUGCUUUCCUGAUUAAAAACAAGGGACUUGUAUGGAAAAGUGACGUAUUUUAUUUCAGGAGAAAGGGGAUAUAUUUUGGGAAACAGUUAAAUAUUGGAAAGAUAAAUGUCACUAAUUAGAAUCACCUAAGAUUCAUUGCUCCAGGUGCAUGGAAUCAGAUCCAAACUUCUGAGUCUGAAUCCUGGCAUGACAUAAUUUAUUAAGUUCCAGAAAAUUUGUCUGCUGUUAAAAAGCUUAAAAUGAGCAUUAUUCAAACUUCCGAAUCCCUUAGAUUGAUACUUUAGAUCCCUUAAAAUGAUACUCUUGGAAAAGAAUAUCAUUUUAAAUUACUCAAAAAUAAUGGGAAUUUCUCUUAACAAACUACAAAAGUACAGUUGAAGUGGAAAACUAAAUUACAUACUUUGCCUUUAUCCACCUCCAAAUGUUUGCUAAGCCUAGCAUGGCCUGUUCUAAGUUAGUUUUACUCCCAUCUAUUAUAAACAAAAUCAAACAAAAAGUCACCGACACAACUUUCAUUGUAAACUCAAAUAUAUACUAAGGAAGAUACAUUUAGAAAUAGUUAACAACUUCUUUGUUCUUAGAAAAAUACUGUAAGAUCUUGUAGUCAUGGGAAAUAGCAGGUAAUAUACAAUACCUAAUUAUGUAUUUGUUUUUUGACACUGGUGUGAAACUAUAAUUGUAGCAUAUCUAUUUUAGCAGCAAUUGAAAUAUUAAUCAGUUAGGAAUUUGGUCUUUGAAUUUGGUAGAAUAGUAUGAAAUACUGUUCUACUUACAGAUGAUUACACAAUUUGUGAGUCAUUGCAAGUAAAUGAAAUUAUUUGAUUAAUCCAUAUACUAUAUUGUUAAUCAUAAAUAUGCAUAUAUAAGUAUAUAGCUAAUUGCAACAUUAUUUUAUAUUAAUACAUUUUAUAUGUUGAUCAUUGUUAAAGCUAUAAUUAACAGCUUAAAUAAAAAUAAGUUCCUCUGCAAGAAAUAAUUUAAAGGAAUUACACAUUCAGUGACUUGCAUAAUGACAAACUCUGGACAAGUUAGACAUGUUUCUAAUUUUAAUUUUAUUUUAUUAAUAUAAAUAAAUAACAACUUAAAUAAAGUUAGAAAAUAUUAAAUAUUUAAGUAUCAAAGAUAUUUUACCAUAAACACAAUACUUUAAAAAAUAACAAUAUAUGUUUCUCAAUUUUGUGCACCUUGAAGAAAGCAGUGAUCUUAGAAAUGCCUCCAAGUAGUUUUUCUUCAUUUAAAAGGCUUUCAAGGUUUACACUAAGCUUUCUAAAAGUAUAGUUACUUGAGGAAUUUUCUGCAGUUAUAUUUGCUUUCUUGAU